GGAAAGGCGCGCGAUACAGGGUGACAGCCCCGUACACAAAAAUGCACAUGCUGUGAGCUCGAUGAGUAGGGCGGGACACGUGGUAUCCUGUCUGAAUAUGGGGGGACCAUCCUCCAAGGCUAAAUACUCCUGACUGACCGAUAGUGAACCAGUACCGUGAGGGAAAGGCGAAAAGAACCCCGGCGAGGGGAGUGAAAAAGAACCUGAAACCGUGUACGUACAAGCAGUGGGAGCACGCUUAGGCGUGUGACUGCGUACCUUUUGUAUAAUGGGUCAGCGACUUAUAUUCUGUAGCAAGGUUAACCGAAUAGGGGAGCCGAAGGGAAACCGAGUCUUAACUGGGCGUUAAGUUGCAGGGUAUAGACCCGAAACCCGGUGAUCUAGCCAUGGGCAGGUUGAAGGUUGGGUAACACUAACUGGAGGACCGAACCGACUAAUGUUGAAAAAUUAGCGGAUGACUUGUGGCUGGGGGUGAAAGGCCAAUCAAACCGGGAGAUAGCUGGUUCUCCCCGAAAGCUAUUUAGGUAGCGCCUCGUGAAUUCAUCUCCGGGGGUAGAGCACUGUUUCGGCAAGGGGGUCAUCCCGACUUACCAACCCGAUGCAAACUGCGAAUACCGGAGAAUGUUAUCACGGGAGACACACGGCGGGUGCUAACGUCCGUCGUGAAGAGGGAAACAACCCAGACCGCCAGCUAAGGUCCCAAAGUCAUGGUUAAGUGGGAAACGAUGUGGGAAGGCCCAGACAGCUAGGAUGUUGGCUUAGAAGCA
RNAcentral lists this ribosomal RNA (767 nucleotides) under Escherichia coli. Its description in RNAcentral is "partial 23S ribosomal RNA". It matches the Rfam family "Bacterial large subunit ribosomal RNA", at positions 344 to 1114 of the family's 2925-position model. The record is from RNAcentral. Lineage: Bacteria; Pseudomonadati; Pseudomonadota; Gammaproteobacteria; Enterobacterales; Enterobacteriaceae.